UAACAGCCUAAGCGGUGGGCCUCCCGAGUGGCGCAGCAUUUAAGGCACUGCAUCGCAGUGCAGGGAGGCAUCACUACAGACACGGGUUCUCCCAGCCGCAACCGGGAGACCAAUGAGGCGGUGCACAAUUGGCCCAGCGUCGUCUGGGUUAGGGGAGGGUCUGGCCAGCUUGGACGUCCUUGUCCCAUCUUGCGACUCCGGUGGCAGGCCGGGUGCUUGCACGCCAGUUGUACCACCUUCCCUCUGACACAUUGGUGCCGCUGUCUUCCGGGUUAAGCGAGCAGUGUGGCUUGGCAGGGUCGUGUUUCGGAGGACGCAUGGCUCUCAAGCUUUGCCUCUCCCGAGUUCGCAUGGGAGUUGCAGCAAUGGGACAAAACUAACUACCAAUUUGAUAUCACGAAAUUGGGGAACAGAAAAGAAAAGCGGGAUGUCUUCAUUGAGAAACCUGAAAUCUUUAAUUAUACUACAGCACUACUGUAGUAUACACACUACUGUGUAUUCCCCAGCGAGAACCAAAAAUGUCACUCAAACAGAAGGGGAAACUAACAAGUGUCGUGGAAUAUUCUAAUCAAGUGAGAGAUGUAAAGAAUUGCUAUUAUGCAGGAGACCAAUCUACUGCUAAAUACGUGGCUAUUGCAUUGUUAUAACUGAGACAGCACAUAGCAACGUAUUUUCACAGUAAAGCCUGUGGGGUCCCCUACAGGAUAGCUCCCACAUUACACACAUAAUCUCCCUUUUAAACAAACACUGUGUGCCCGAAGAAGAUUCUACGAUGACGGACAGACAACUGAGCCAAUGGCAGAAGACUACAGACUACAACCAGCUGAACCAAUCUGGAGAUCCGAUCUUCCUAGAGUCAACCUACUUUCUGUGACGUAUAUAAGGGCUGUGCUGACUGUUUACGCGCUCUCUGCCUGCUGUUCCAACACGAACUAACGGAAGAGCCGUAUUUACGUGUACCAGAUAUUCUCCCUCUGAAAUAAACUGUCGCUUGUCGUACAAUUUUAACACCUGGUCUGAAUCGAUCCUUAACCGGCUCACCCUUCUAAUAUCCUUUUAUCAACAAAACAUGGUAGCCAGAGGAUGGUUGAAUAACUGUCCGGUCGAAGUGAGUUGAUUGGGUGUGAGAAGGAGAGUGACGGAAGGACGGUUCCAAAAAAGAGACGGGUGAAAGAAAUUCAGGGGAGGACAAUAAUUCUGCUCAACUCGGGAAACUGAUCUAAAAGGUGCACCAUAAACAAGGUAAGCAAAACCUGUUAAAUCAAACUUUGCAUAUUGUCGUAUAGUCUGUCUAAAUUCUGAUCAGUAUUUCCGAGUAAGUAUGAAUUCUUGUGUAAAUUUAUAAUUUGCUGACGAGUCAAAGAACAGUAGAGUGAACAUAUGUGGUACAAACCGGCGACGGCCGGGUGAUUAAAUCAUUGAUGAGAUAUCAGUAAGGGGAUAGCUGAUUACUAUUCAUUAAAUCUGGCGCCGAGGGGAUAAAUUGUAAUUUUGUCCCGUGACCCGGUCAGCGCAGUCUGAUAGCUUUCAAUGAUGAGGGAUCACUUUUGAGGCCUGUUGUUCCGAUAGGGGUUAAAGAUAAUUCUGAUAGGGAUCGAACAUGUGUAAUUAUUAGUUUCGAUAGGGGUCAGAGAUAAUUUUAAUAGGGGUCGGACAUGUGUAUAAUUCUGAUAGGGAUCAGCACGAUAGAGAUUAGGGAUAGAUAUCAGUAAGGGGAUAGCUAAUUGCUAUUCAUUAAACCUGGCGCCGAGGUUGUCCCGCGACUCGGUCGAAGUCCAGUCUGAUAAGAGGUCCAAUGAUAAAGAUAAGCUGAUAGGGGUCAGAGAGAUAACGUGUAUUUGUAACUGUUCAUAUUAAAAUGUAAUGUGGUUGUAAUCGUCUCCAUUAAGAUUGUUGAUGGUUUGAGAGACAGAGAGAGAGAGAGAGAGAGAGAGAACUCAAGAAGGGUUAUUGAAUAAAUCCGAAAAUUCUGUGUUGUAUGUAAACUUCCAUGUUGUAUGUAUCUAUAACUUCUGUGUAAAAUGUAUAAUCAGGAACAAAAUGACUGAUGUAUAAUUGAAAUAAGAUCUGAAUAUAAUAUUUAAUAUUGCGACUAUAUAGUCGAAUAGAUCCCUUGGUUGCGCGCUCCACGAAAGCUAUACCAACCCAAUCGUUUUUCUCGAACUGAAUAUACAAGGAAAAGCUCUGAGAUAAGGCAGAGUGUGAGCAAUAGUGUCUCCUCGAAUACAUCGUUGUUAUUAACUAACGACGGGCUAAGUAUAUUCUAAUUAUAUUCAAGUAGUCUGGUAAAAUUCCGAUUAAGUUACGAUUAAUUUCCGAUUGAAUUCAAUUGAAUCACGAUUAAAAAUUCACAAUGGCGACCCCCAAUACUCCAAAGCUGAAGUUUAAUGAGUUCCUAGAAAAAAAAAUGGAAUAUAGAUCAGGGGGAAAGGGACAGUGGAAGGAUAUAAAGAAAGUCUGGGAGGGAGUAAAGUUAAGAUGGACGCAAGCAGGUUACCUAGGAGGGGGACUGCCAACCGGGGUCCAGUUGAAAACAAUGGAAUGUGGGUUAAGAGAGAAAGAGGCAGAAAAGAACAAAAUUCACGUAUUUAAGAAAUAAGGGUCAGAUACGAAGGGAGCGAGAUUAAUGAGAAUCCUAAUUGAGGGAAAACUUUGGGCGUUUAAAUUAGUGCUAUUUUCUGUUGUUCAGAUGCUGGAGUAACAAAUACAGAUAACUGUAAAUUGGGUCUAUUUGCGGAGAAUCUCAGUUCCAUAGCAUUGGUGGUUCAGUGGUGGAGUUCUCGCCUGCCACGUGGGAGGCCAGGGUUCGGUUCCCAGCUGAGGUGUAAAGAGUAGUUAUAUAUGACUGAGUUUUUGGUUUUAAUUAAACUAAUUGUUUUGCAGAGAAAGUUAUAGUCACUAGUAUUGGUAUAAGAUAUAAACUGAACGUUUUAAAUAGUUUGUUUGGUUCAAAUUGAAAGACUAAUUCAUUCAACUUAAUAUAAGAACGGAGAUUUUGAUGCAAGGCGAUGUCUGUUCACUAAAUGAUUUGUUGGGAAUAAUACAUUGGGAAAAGAGUCGUAAUUAAAAAUGCUAAUUCAAAGACGAGACAGUAACUUAAAUCAAAUUCAUUCUGAAUAAUAACGGGGGAACAAUUACGAUAGAUUUGUGUCCAUCGAAAUGUUUUUAUAAGAUUAGCGAAUUGAGAGAUGUUGAUUGAUGUUGUAAACUCUAAUUCAGGAUUCAACAGAUGUGAUAAAUUAGGUUUGGUUUAUCGAACCCGAAAUACUGUUGUUGCAGACAGCCAACCAUUAUUUACAAUGAGUUGAAAAUCGUUGCGAAAUGAGUCAAGAUUGAGCGCUUGUUGAUGACAUCACUUGCGAGGUUUCCGUCGCCACGGAAAUAAUGUCUUGACUGGGGGUGACAGAGAAAAUGGUUAGUGUCCUUUAGAGAAGGAUUUUAUGCAUUACAGGUGAACUACAGGUGAAGUCACUCAAUCCAGUCCCCAGAGGCUUGGGGACCAUAGAAGACCCCUGGUGACAGCUAGCUGAAAGAGCUACCCAGAUUCAUAUCGCACGGCGGAAGGGUAAGACAUUUUUUCACUGUCGGACAAUAAACAGAGUUCGGGAGAAGAACUGGAAUUAACAGAAUUCCGGGGGCCAACUCUCGAAUGAAGUAACCCUACCUGUCCUAUCACCCCUGUUUUUGUUCAUAGAAGUGAAGAUGUGUCUGGCUCUGGCUAAGUGAUGUGUAUUUUGUUCCAAAAUAAGCAUAAGAAAUCCCUAGAUCUGGGUAGACAAGAAGUUAGAGUAGAGAUUACAUGAUAACCGACUUCGGACAGUUCUAGGAUUGGAGAAGAGGGUAUCCUUAUAGCAUGGGGGAUCCCACAAGGGUGGAUAGGUUUUCCAUGAUAUGGGGAAACCUGGGAGCAAUGUUGAACUUUGUAAAGGUGAUGAAAUCCUACUAACCAUCAAAACUAUUAAGCUCUCUGAUGCAGGCACACACACCCUCGGACUACAAAGGACGAGGACAGACAUGAUGGGUGUGUUUUCUAUUAAGGUACUGCCAAGACCAGAGGUAGCCGGACACACUCCUCUACCACCACUGUGUUAAAAAUACCAUUCAGGUAAUUAAUGUUAGAGACUAUUCGGCUAUGGAUCAAUUAGAAACUGAGACUGGUUUUGAUAGUAGGGACAAUUUGUGGCUGUCUUAUGAGGUACACAGCUAAAACCCUGAGAAGAAAGGACUGUAUUAUUUGUAGUUAUGCUAGACCUGUUCUGGCUACACACCCAUUUGCAGUAGGAGAAGGAGAGGGGUGGUUGUGUAUUCUGAGAAGUUUUUACCAGGUUAAGCCCAAUUCAACCCUCUGUUCCUCUUUGAGCCUUGUGUUUCCUGCAGUACCUCCUCAUCGGGCCUCUUGGGGUGUUGAGGCAUAUGGGGGCAAUUACGAGUGCAUCACGGGUACAGGUAAUGGCAUUGAUUAUGGGAGAUUGCCUGAAGCUGAUUGCAGGAGUAACAUAACCAUUAAUUCCACUUGGCCAGUUACAGGCCUAAACCAAACUAGUGGUCUGGCUGAUGUAUGUUGGAUGAGUGGAGCAAAAAGAGUGCUGAGACCCAUUCUUAGAGGAGAAUGGCAAGGUACGUGUGGUCUGACCAGUUUGAUAAUUCCACUGACCAUUGUUGAUGUUGUUGCUGAACAGCUGCUGAGUUCUGUAACCAGGGGACCUGAAAACAUUCCAUCCCAUGGGAGACAUAGAUGUAGUAGUGCUCCAUGGAGAGGAUGUAGUUGACAUACACACUAACCUGUUGGGAGUGCCAGUGGGGAUUCCUCAUGAGUUUCAGGCCUUGGGUAGGAAUGAUGGACUCUGGCACUUACUACCUACUAUGGGUCCAGCCAUGGUGGAUGCUAGACAGACUGCAUGGAUUAAUUAUAUCUACUAUAAUCAACAGCGUUUUGUGAAUUACUCCCGUGAUGCACUCACUAGUAUGUCUGAACAGCUUGAGGCCACAUUUGGGGUUUCCAGACAGAAUAGACUUGCCUUGAAUAUACUUCUUGCCAGUCAGGGGACGUCUGCAAGAUGUUCGGUAAACAAUGUUGCACAUAUAUUCCUAAUAAUACCAGUCCAGAUGAUAGUUUUUAAACUUCACAAUCUAAGGCGGGCUUGAUGCACUGUCUGCUAAGAUGAGGUCCAUGGGGGGGGUGGAGGAGUCUGUUCUCUUGGCCUGGUUUGGUAAGUGCACUGGUAUGAUGGUUACUGGAUUUCUGACCCUAAUUCUUGUAUUAUUUGUUAUUGAUGUGAUGUGCUGCUUGCAUCAUACCGUGUUUUGAGAAGUCUGUUACAGAUGUGGUGAGGGCUUCAGGCAUAUGCCUUUGCUUGAUGCUCCAGUUGGCGAUGCCGAUACGGAAGCAUGCUUUCAGAGGAGGAUGGGACUGACUGAUGAUGACACAUGGUUUGGAGUUCCUGGGUGGCAAGGAGCCCACCUGGUACAGGAUAGGAGUAGCUGAGAGGACCAGAUGGUUUCUAAUAAUUCUUUACUCUGUUUUCCAUGACCAAAGUUUUAUCCUACAUCUUACAUGUCAAUAACAAUAAAGUUUUAUCCUGUUUUUGAUGAGUGACACCCUUGGGGGGAACAAAGGCAUACAACAAAGGCAUAUAUAACUUGUUAUUAGUAAUAAACUUUUUAUUAUUUUCAUGAAAUGCUAUGACUGCUGAAAUAAAGGAUAAUUGAGUGACACCCUAGCAGGAGUCAAAAGGGGGACCUAAAUUUCACACUAUUUUCUUUUGUUCUGUUUUUGAAUGAGCUGUUCUCUUUUGACAUGAAGGUAGUUUAAACUUUGUAACUGUUAUAUGAUUCAUUGCUGAGUUUUUGUUCACACCCUUGGGGUUAUUUUACAUUAUAGCCAUUACCAUAUAUAUGAUUGAAUAUUAUCUGCUGUUGCCUUGUGUGGAUGUAUGUAUGUGUUAUGCUACCUAGCUGAUUUGAAACAUUGUUAAAAGUAUCAGGGCCAUGGAACUUUCUCAUGCUGGAAAAAUACAGAAGGAAGGGCACAUUCAGAGCGUGGGGUUGCGAGAACAAGCGGUCUUUUUGGUUAGAUAACAGGAGCCAGGUGCGAGAUAACGGUAUGGAGCAUGAGACCCAUCUCAGUUUUUGCAGCAAUUUUAGGAGGGGGAUCCAGUUGCUUUUAUUGAUUAAGCUUCUCCAUUGUAUGUCGUGUCCCAUCUGGGAUGGGAAGAGGGGAAAUUAUUUUUCUUUGUGGGCCAUUUCCGGAUAGACAUACCUAGUUUAGGAUAUUUUUCCUUUUUGGAUUAUGUCUUCGUUUUUGCUUGGAGUAAUGUAUCUGGACUAUAUCACAUCUCUUAGGAGAUGUGAAGAGAGGGUAUCACAACUUUUUCCUGCUGGAAAAAGCUGGCUAAUGUGGACAAUAAUUUUUACUUUUAUUUUGAGCUGUUCUCCGCUCUGUUAAAUGAGGGUUGUAAGUUCCUAGGUGGCUGGUAGCCAACUUAGUACAUAGUGGGAUUGAAUGGAGAACAUGAUGGUAAUACAUAAAUAUCUAUUUCUCUUUAAUACCGUGCCUUAUUUCAUAGUCCUUUUGGGAGAAGUUUCUCUUUGUGUCUGGACCUAGUUAGGUUGUGUCACGUCUCUGGUGAGACGUGAAGAGAGGGUUUUGCAAAGAAUUGCUAUUAUGCAGGAGACCAAUCUACUGCUAAAUACGUGGCUAUUGCAUUGUUAUAACUGAGACAGCACAUAGCAACGUAUUUUCACAGUAAAGCCUGUGGGGUCCCCUACAGGAUAGCUCCCACAUUACACACAUAAUCUCCCUUUUAAACAAACACUGUGUGCCCGAAGAAGAUUCUACGAUGACGGACAGACAACUGAGCCAAUGGCAGAAGACUUACAGACUACAACCAGCUGAACCAAUCCGGAGAUCCGAUCUUCCUAGAGUCAACCUACUUUCCGUGACGUAUAUAAGGGCUGUGCUGACUGUUUACGCGCUCUCUGCCUGCUGUUCCAACACGAACUAACGGAAGAGCCGUAUUUACGUGUACCAGAUAUUCUCCCUCUGAAAUAAACUGUCGCUUGUCGUACAAUUUUAA
Molecule: long non-coding RNA, 7076 nt
Organism: Oncorhynchus nerka (sockeye salmon)
Lineage: Eukaryota; Metazoa; Chordata; Actinopteri; Salmoniformes; Salmonidae
Exons: 2
Source: RefSeq, a predicted model, not a curated record